Long non-coding RNA from Lycium ferocissimum, 589 nucleotides. RefSeq lists it as uncharacterized. NCBI's taxonomy places the organism in Eukaryota, Viridiplantae, Streptophyta, Magnoliopsida, Solanales, Solanaceae. The transcript is spliced from 2 exons. The record is from RefSeq and is a predicted model, not a curated record.
UUUUUCAUAAGCUCUUGCAUGUGACUCAGUUUUGUUUUAAGUUGAAUUUUUCUUUUGAGUUUCCAGCUUUCUUCAUUUGUAGUACAUCUGAGUAAAUUUUACAUUGGUCUUUCCAGGUUUUUUUAUUUAAAAUAAUUUUAUGUUUGCUGGUUUUCUGCAUGUUUCUUACGCUUUCUCUAUUUUUUGCUAUGCCUUGUUUACUUCUGUAUUGUCUUUUUCAAACUGCCUUGUUAUGUGUUACUGGAGCCGAGGGUCUUUCGGAAACAGCCUCUAUCUCCACAAGGUAGGGGUAAGGUCUGCCUACACUCUACCCUCCCCCAACCCCACCUGUGGGAAUACACUGGGUAUGUUGUUGUUGGUUUUCUGCAUGUUUUAUAAGACAUUAUGGUGCAUCAACUCCUGGCAAGUAAGGUCUAUGUAUGUCAUAUGGAAACAAGGUAUCUAUAACCGGAAGGAACACAAAUGAAGCAGGGAAUUAAAUCAAAAGAAUAUCUGCAAAGAGAUGAACCCAUCCUUCCCGAAGAAUAGAGUAUCUAAUGCAAAAACUAACUAGCAACCUCGUCCUUUAAAAAUGUUUAGUUUAUAUAUA